Molecule: ribosomal RNA, 429 nt
Filed under: uncultured archaeon
Lineage: Archaea
Description: bacterial SSU rRNA
Rfam family: Archaeal small subunit ribosomal RNA
Source: RNAcentral
UUAAUACCGGAUAGAUCAAAGAUACUGGAAUGUUCUCUGGUCUAAAGCUCCGGCGCCCAAGGAUGGGUCUGCGGCCUAUCAGGUAGUAGUGGGUGUAACGUACCUACUAGCCUGCGACGGGUACGGGUUGUGAGAGCAAGAUCCCGGAGAUGGAUUCUGAGACAUGAAUCCAGGCCCUACGGGGUGCAGCAGGCGCGAAACCUUUACACUGCGGGAAACCGCGAUAGGGGGACCCCGAGUGCCAGCACCUAGUGCUGGCUGUCCCGCUGUCCAAACAACAGCGGUUAGCAAGGGCCGGGCAAGACCGGUGCCAGCCGCCGCGGUAACACCGGCGGCCCGAGUGGUAGCCGCUAUUAUUGGGUUUAAAGGGUCCGUAGCCGGCCUGUUAAGUCUCUUGGGAAAUCUGGCGGCUCAAUCGUCAGGCGUUCA